This 254-nucleotide ribosomal RNA is filed under the name uncultured prokaryote. RNAcentral's name for it is "partial 16S ribosomal RNA". It matches the Rfam family "Bacterial small subunit ribosomal RNA", at positions 524 to 776 of the family's 1533-position model. The record is from RNAcentral.
UACGGGGGGAGCAAGCGUUGUUCGGAUUUACUGGGCGUAAAGGGCGCGUAGGCGGCCUGUGCAAGUCAGUUGUGAAAUCUCCGGGCUUAACUCGGAACGGUCAACUGAUACUGCUCGGCUAGAGUGCGGAAGGGGCAACUGGAAUUCUUGGUGUAGCGGUGAAAUGCGUAGAUAUCGAGAGGAACACCGGUGGCGAAGGCGGGUCUCUGGCCCGGUACUGACGCUGAGGUGCGAAAGCGUGGGGAGCAAACAGG